This 413-nucleotide ribosomal RNA is filed under the name uncultured microorganism. RNAcentral describes it as "bacterial SSU rRNA". It matches the Rfam family "Archaeal small subunit ribosomal RNA", at positions 330 to 745 of the family's 1478-position model. The record is from RNAcentral.
GUGCACCAGGCGCGAAACUUCACACUGUGCGAAAGCACGAUGAGGGAAUCCCAAGUGCUUGCACGUAAGUGUAAGCUGUUUCUCUGUCUAAAACGCAGAGAGAGUAAGGGCUGGGUAAGACGGGUGCCAGCCGCCGCGGUAAUACCUGCAGCUCAAGUGGUGACCGUUAUUAUUGGGCCUAAAACGUCCGUAGCCGGUUUAAUAAAUGCCUGGGUAAAUUGUGUAGCUUAACUAUACGAAUUCCGGGUAGACUGUUAAACUUGAGACCGGGAGAAGUUAGAGGUACUCCUGGGGUAGAGGUGAAAUUCUGUAAUCCUAGGGGACCACCAGUGGCGAAGGCGUCUAACUAGAACGGGUCUGACGGUGAGGGACGAAGCCCUGGGGCGCAAACGGGGAUUAGAUACCCGUGUAGU